This 253-nucleotide ribosomal RNA is filed under the name uncultured bacterium. RNAcentral's name for it is "partial 16S ribosomal RNA". It matches the Rfam family "Bacterial small subunit ribosomal RNA", at positions 524 to 776 of the family's 1533-position model. The record is from RNAcentral.
UACGUAUGGAGCAAGCGUUAUCCGGAUUUACUGGGUGUAAAGGGAGCGCAGGCGGUCUGGCAAGUCUGAUGUGAAAGGCCGGGGCUCAACCCCGGGACUGCAUUGGAAACUGUCAGACUGGAGUGUCGGAGAGGUAAGCGGAAUUCCUAGUGUAGCGGUGAAAUGCGUAGAUAUCAGGAGGAACACCGGUGGCGAAGGCGGCCUGCUGGACUGCAACUGACGUUGAGGCCCGAAAGCGUGGGGAGCAAACAGG